Molecule: long non-coding RNA, 259 nt
Filed under: Homo sapiens (human)
Lineage: Eukaryota; Metazoa; Chordata; Mammalia; Primates; Hominidae
Description: HSALNT0103186
Source: RNAcentral
UUGUUCUGUUGCCCAGGCUGGAGUAGAGUGGUGUCAUCUUGGCCGACUGCAACCUCCACCUCCCAGGUUCAAGUGAUUAUCGUGCCUCAGCCUCCCGAGUUGCUGGGAUUACAGGCGCAUGCCCACCAGGCCUGGCUAAUGUUUUUGUAUUUUUAGUAGAGACGAGGUUUCACCAUGUUGGCCAGGCUGGUCUUGAACUCCUGACCUUAAGUGAUCUGCCCACCUUGGCUUCCCAACAGGCUGGGAUUACAGGCAUGAG